UACGUAGGUGGCAAGCGUUGUCCGGAUUUAUUGGGCGUAAAGCGCGCGUAGGCGGUUUCUUAAGUCUGAUGUGAAAGCCCACGGCUCAACCGUGGAGGGUCAUUGGAAACUGGGGAACUUGAGUGCAGAAGAGGAGAGUGGAAUUCCAUGUGUAGCGGUGAAAUGCGCAGAGAUAUGGAGGAACACCAGUGGCGAAGGCGGCUCUCUGGUCUGUUACCGACGCUGAUGUGCGAAAGCGUGGGUAUCGAACA
This 251-nucleotide ribosomal RNA is filed under the name uncultured bacterium. RNAcentral's name for it is "partial 16S ribosomal RNA". It matches the Rfam family "Bacterial small subunit ribosomal RNA", at positions 524 to 774 of the family's 1533-position model. The record is from RNAcentral.